GGCGAACGCUGGCGGCGUGCUUAACACAUGCAAGUCGAACGGAAAGACCCUGCUUUUGUGGGGUGCUCGAGUGGCGAACGGGUGAGUAACACGUGAGUAACCUGCCCUUGACUUUGGGAUAACUUCAGGAAACUGGGGCUAAUACCGGAUAGGAGCUCCUGCUGCAUGGUGGGGGUUGGAAAGUUUCGGCGGUUGGGGAUGGACUCGCGGCUUAUCAGCUUGUUGGUGGGGUAGUGGCUUACCAAGGCUUUGACGGGUAGCCGGCCUGAGAGGGUGACCGGCCACAUUGGGACUGAGAUACGGCCCAGACUCCUACGGGAGGCAGCAGUGGGGAAUAUUGCACAAUGGGCGGAAGCCUGAUGCAGCAACGCCGCGUGCGGGAUGACGGCCUUCGGGUUGUAAACCGCUUUCGCCUGUGACGAAGCGGGAGUGACGGUAAUGGGUAAAGAAGCACCGGCUAACUACGUG
Molecule: ribosomal RNA, 468 nt
Filed under: uncultured bacterium
Lineage: Bacteria
Description: partial 16S ribosomal RNA
Rfam family: Bacterial small subunit ribosomal RNA
Source: RNAcentral